GACGAACGCUGGCGGCGUGCCUAAUACAUGCAAGUUGAGCGAUGAAGAUUGGUGCUUGCACCAAUUUGAAGAGCAGCGAACGGGUGAGUAACGCGUGGGGAAUCUGCCUUUGAGCGGGGGACAACAUUUGGAAACGAAUGCUAAUACCGCAUAAUAACUUUAAACAUAAGUUUUAAGUUUGAAAGAUGCAAUUGCAUCACUCAAAGAUGAUCCCGCGUUGUAUUAGCUAGUUGGUGAGGUAAAGGCUCACCAAGGCGAUGAUACAUAGCCGACCUGAGAGGGUGAUCGGCCACAUUGGGACUGAGACACGGCCCAAACUCCUACGGGAGGCAGCAGUAGGGAAUCUUCGGCAAUGGACGAAAGUCUGACCGAGCAACGCCGCGUGAGUGAAUAAGGUUUUCGGAUCGUAAAACUCUGUUGGUAGAGAAGAACGUUGGUGAGAGUGGAAAGCUCAUCAAGUGACGGUAACUACCCAGAAAGGGACGGCUAACUACGUG
This 497-nucleotide ribosomal RNA is filed under the name uncultured bacterium. RNAcentral describes it as "partial 16S ribosomal RNA". It matches the Rfam family "Bacterial small subunit ribosomal RNA", at positions 28 to 507 of the family's 1533-position model. The record is from RNAcentral.